UGCUUCCGCUCAGAAAUUUCUAGAAACACUGCCAGGAUGCUGCAUCCGCUAUGAUUAGAUAGAAAAUUGAAAUAAAAGCCGAGUGCAGUUAACGUCUCAGUCAGUGAUUCGUGCGAACUAGUUUGCGGCGUUAUUUGAUAUUUACUGCUCAUAAUAAUGGAAGAAUUUGAUUUCGCCUCCUUGAACUCAUCUACCUAUUGUAAGCCAUUCAUAAAUGCAAAAGAUCUGGAAAUCGGAAAUAAAUACCCAAUUACUGAUAUCGGCGUAAUCGGCACCAAGUUUGGAGAUCGAAUUAUGGUCGAAACCGAGACCUUCAAGUGCAUACUGCCGCAGCGUUACCAUACAUACCUCACAGAAGAAAAUCGGCUAGAGUUCCUUAAGUUGACCGUAACAAAUAAAGUUGUAUUUAUAUCUAGUAUAGGAGCGGUAGGCUCAACAACGAAUUUACAAAUAAUUACAUAACCCUAAUUUGAAAUAUGAAUAAAGGUGUUAAC
Molecule: long non-coding RNA, 494 nt
Organism: Photinus pyralis (common eastern firefly)
Lineage: Eukaryota; Metazoa; Arthropoda; Insecta; Coleoptera; Lampyridae
Exons: 2
Source: RefSeq, a predicted model, not a curated record